GCUCUAUAACAUCUUGUUACAUUGCACUUUACUUGUAUGUAGAUGGACAACAGCAUGGAUUCCUUUGAAGAGGACGAGGUCACUGCUAUGGAGGACAUGAGAGAGAUGCUGCGGAUGUUUGAGGAAGAAAGAAGAGAAGACGGACUGA
Molecule: long non-coding RNA, 148 nt
Organism: Bufo gargarizans (Asiatic toad)
Lineage: Eukaryota; Metazoa; Chordata; Amphibia; Anura; Bufonidae
Exons: 3
Source: RefSeq, a predicted model, not a curated record